UACGACUACAUAUCAGGCAUAUCAAUAAGCGGAGGAAAAGAAACUAACAAGGAUUCCCUUAGUAACGGCGAGUGAAGCGGGAAGAGCUCAAAUUUGAAAUCUUAAAGGGUUUCCCUUUACGAAUUGUAGUUUAAAGAAGUGUUUUCUGUUGGAGUUUCGGUAAAAGUUCUUUGGAAUAGGACAUCAUAGAGGGUGAGAAUCCCGUAUUUGACCGUUACUUUCCAGCUGUGUGAUACACUUUCAAAGAGUCGGAUUGUUUGGGAAUGCAGUCCAAGAUGGGUGGUAAAUUUCAUCUAAAGCUAAAUAUUGGCGAGAGACCGAUAGCGAACAAGUACCGUGAGGGAAAGAUGAAAAGAACUUUGAAAAGAGAGUUAAACAGUACGUGAAAUUGUCAAAAGGGAAGCGUUUGACACCAGUGUUGUUUUCUCGAAAAUCAAUUAAAAAGAGUUGGAUUUUGUGUUGUAUUGACCUUAACAGCUUGCUUCACUCUUUUCCAGCUUUUUUUAAUGCACUUUUCGUUUAACAAGUCAACAUCAGUUUCUUUUGCUGUAAAAGGGUAAUAGGAAGGUGGCUUCUCUUCGGUUAGAAAGUGUUUAUAGCCUUCUAUCUCUGCAAUCGGAGAGAUUGAGGUCUGCAGCGUAGACUCUUCGGGGUUAGAUACAUUCUGUGCUAAGCUAUAGCUUUUCAUAGACAACUUGUUGACUAUGUUUAGUCUUGUGACUUACCCGCUUAUGCUAUUUUACCUACGCUUAGGAUGUUGAGCGCAUGUCUCUCUCU
Molecule: ribosomal RNA, 777 nt
Filed under: uncultured Neocallimastigales
Lineage: Eukaryota; Fungi; Neocallimastigomycota; Neocallimastigomycetes; Neocallimastigales
Description: partial large subunit ribosomal RNA
Rfam family: Eukaryotic large subunit ribosomal RNA
Source: RNAcentral